Molecule: long non-coding RNA, 1391 nt
Organism: Pogoniulus pusillus (Red-fronted tinkerbird)
Lineage: Eukaryota; Metazoa; Chordata; Aves; Piciformes; Lybiidae
Exons: 4
Source: RefSeq, a predicted model, not a curated record
GGAUCAAAGUAUCACAGUAUCACAGUAUCAUCAGGGUUGGAAGAGACCUCACAGAUCAUCAAGUCCAACCCUUUACCACAGAGCUCGAGGCUAGACCAUGGCACCAAGUGCCACGUCCAACCUUGCCUUGAAGUGCCCCAGGGACUUGUGUCAUACUUUCUACAGUUAUGUCUGCAGACCAGUCAGGCAAUAUUUUUGCCCUAUUUGCAUGAACAGAGGUGGAAGUUCAGCAUGAAGACCUUGUGGAGUCUCUGAGGUGUUUAAGGAGCAAGCAAUGUGGAGGAUGGCAAUGGUCUUGGUGCUGCAGUCUUCAAGAAGAAAUCUCUUUCUUCCAGUCCCAGCCUAUGAGCCCUUUUGCCUCUCUAAGGAAAGCAGUAGGCAUGACAGAGGGCAUCUGCUGGCAACUGUUAUUUACCAAAGGAAAGCCUGGGGCCAGCCUUCUGGGGCUGUCUGAAAAAGAGGUGGCUGAGGGAAGACCUCAUCAUUGUCUACAGCUACCUGAAAGGAGGAGCUGGACACUUUUGACAGGUCAGAUAAAGUCACUUCCAUCCUCCAUCUGAAUUCCAGCUGCUUGCUAAGGCAGGAUCUUCUGCAAGCUGCAUAUGGUAGGGAAGAAAUUAAAGCGAUAGGAUCCUUGUCUGGAUUCAGAGUAAGGCAUCCAAACCAAAGCUGAGAAAAACAACCUGGAUUCAGCAAAGUGCUUCAGCUUUAAGCAUGCAAACAGCCAACGAAUCACAUGCUUAAAGUAAGACUCAGGUAUGUGCUUCUUGCUAAAUUAGGCAUAAAUGAUAUCUACAUAUCAAAUGGCAGUAAAGGCCCAGUAAAAAGACAAAAGUAAGCCUCCCCCCCACCCCCCACCCCAAAGAAAAGAUAACCAGGAGAGCUUUGGUUCAGCAGCAGUGCUGUCUCAGAUGUAAUGCAGUCCACAGCAGGUCUGGUUUGUUUUCAUUCAGUCACUUUAUUCUUUAUUGCUCGGUAUCAAAAAGGAAUCAAACUGACAUUGAUUAAAGGCCAUUGUGAGUUGCAGGUAAUAUUCAGCUCAUUCUCCCUAUAAAGUGAUGCACAUGGUUGGGACAAACUGAAACCAGAGAAGACUGAAAGAGGAGGGAAUCACAGUAUGUAAACAACAGCACACAGCUAUAGGUUAACUCGGGUUAGCCUUUGUCCACUUGGCAGGCCUGAUCAAAAGGAGCUAAUGUUUGAAUCCCAAUAAAGACUUUGUGGUUUGCCUUUGAAUGGCUGAGAAAUCAAAGAAUCUCACAAAGCAGAGUGGAUAAAUAUGUCUCUACUGCUGUUGCUCCUCAUCUUUAAGGCUUAUCAGAGUCCUCUGCCUUCACUCUGACCUUAUUGGUUGCUUAGGAAAAUCAGCUGAACAAAUACUAAUUGCUUGA